AGAAAGCCCGCAAGGGUGAGUAAAGUGGCGUACGGGUGAGUAACACGUGGGUAAUCUACCUCUGGGUGGGGAAUAACCCUGGGAAACCGGGGCUAAUACCGCAUGACACUGAAAGGUCAAAGGCGCAAGUCGCCUGGAGAGGAGCCCGCGGCUGAUUAGCUAGUUGGUGAGGUAAAGGCUCACCAAGGCUAUGAUCGGUAGCCGGCCUGAGAGGGCACACGGCCACACUGGCACUGAAACACGGGCCAGACUCCUACGGGAGGCAGCAGUGGGGAAUCUUGCACAAUGGGGGAAACCCUGAUGCAGCGACGCCGCGUGAGCGAUGAAGCCCUUCGGGGUGUAAAGCUCUUUCGGCAGGGACGAUAAUGACGGUACCUGAAGAAGAAGCUGCGGCUAACUACGUGCCAGCAGCCGCGGUAAUACGUAGGCAGCGAGCGUUGUUCGGAGUUACUGGGCGUAAAGAGUGCGUAGGCGGUUUUCUAAGUUUGGUGUGAAAUCUCCCGGCUUAACUGGGAGGGUGCGCCGAAGACUGGAAGGCUUGAGUAUGGGAGAGGUAAGCGGAAUUCCUGGUGUAGCGGUGAAAUGCGUAGAUAUCAGGAGGAACACCUGCGGUGUAGACGGCUUACUGGACCAUAACUGACGCUGAGGCACGAAAGCGUGGGUAGCAAACAGGAUUAGAUACCCUGGUAGUCCACGCCCUAAACGAUGCAUACUUUGGUGUGGGUAGUUCACUCUAUCCGUGCCGGAGCUAACGCGUUAAGUAUGCC
RNAcentral lists this ribosomal RNA (767 nucleotides) under uncultured bacterium. RNAcentral's name for it is "bacterial SSU rRNA". It matches the Rfam family "Bacterial small subunit ribosomal RNA", at positions 70 to 870 of the family's 1533-position model. The record is from RNAcentral.